This 69-nucleotide non-coding RNA is filed under the name Lentzea aerocolonigenes. The record is from RNAcentral. Lineage: Bacteria; Bacillati; Actinomycetota; Actinomycetes; Pseudonocardiales; Pseudonocardiaceae.
CUUGACCGCUCCCAGCAACAGAGGUGCGGAGCGGUCCUGGCCGUAGACGUUCAGCAGCGCCUGCGCCUC